CAGUGAUUUCAGCUCUUUUAGUAUUUGUCCAGCAGUCCCUCGCGUAGCGAGGGGCCCCA
RNAcentral lists this small nuclear RNA (59 nucleotides) under Alligator mississippiensis (American alligator). Its description in RNAcentral is "U7 small nuclear RNA". It matches the Rfam family "U7 small nuclear RNA". Rfam says of the family: Animal histone pre-mRNAs are spliced by a different mechanism than nuclear pre-mRNAs and self-splicing introns. Lineage: Eukaryota; Metazoa; Chordata; Crocodylia; Alligatoridae. The record is from Rfam by way of RNAcentral.